This 578-nucleotide ribosomal RNA is filed under the name uncultured bacterium. Its description in RNAcentral is "partial 16S ribosomal RNA". It matches the Rfam family "Bacterial small subunit ribosomal RNA", at positions 355 to 926 of the family's 1533-position model. The record is from RNAcentral.
UGGGGAAUUUUGGACAAUGGGCGAAAGCCUGAUCCAGCAAUGCCGCGUGUGUGAAGAAGGCCUUCGGGUUGUAAAGCACUUUUGUCCGGAAAGAAAUCCUUGGCUCUAAUACAGUCGGGGGAUGACGGUACCGGAAGAAUAAGCACCGGCUAACUACGUGCCAGCAGCCGCGGUAAUACGUAAGGUGCAAGCGUUAAUCGGAAUUACUGGGCGUAAAGCGUGCGCAGGCGGUUUGCUAAGACCGAUGUGAAAUCCCCGGGCUCAACCUGGGAACUGCAUUGGUGACUGGCAGGCUAGAGUAUGGCAGAGGGGGGUAGAAUUCCACGUGUAGCAGUGAAAUGCGUAGAGAUGUGGAGGAAUACCGAUGGCGAAGGCAGCCCCCUGGGCCAAUACUGACGCUCAUGCACGAAAGCGUGGGGAGCAAACAGGAUUAGAUACCCUGGUAGUCCACGCCCUAAACGAUGUCAACUAGUUGUUGGGGAUUCAUUUCCUUAGUAACGUAGCUAACGCGUGAAGUUGACCGCCUGGGGAGUACGGUCGCAAGAUUAAAACUCAAAUGAAUUGACGGGGUCAUAGCU